GGAAGUAAAGGAAAUUUCAGCCACCGUGGGGUAAACAGCAAAGAUUACCAUCUCUUUGAAGGCAGAAACUUUAUCUGCGACAUCCUGUAUUAUGCCGGUAGCUCAUAAUUAUUGCUUUUCAAAACCCUGAUGUAGAUCUUACCAGCAGUUUCACAUUUUAAGCAGAGAAAACUCCAAAUCGGCAGAGCAAAGAAAGGACUGUGAACAAGACUGAUCAUUUAAAGGUCGUAAAGGGAGGUGUUAGGGAAAGGUGGAGGAAGGCGAAGAGAAGGCUAAGGAAGCCUAAGAACUGCGGCUGCAGAGUCACGGAAACACUUCGCUCCGCUCCAGGAUCACUGGCACAGGCCUUUGCCAGGGCGAACUCCGGGCAAGACCCGUGACCCCACCCCAGAAAACUCCCGACUCCCGGGCUGGAGAAGGUAGCCAAGGUAGGGCGGACCGUCCCCCGACGGGUCCUAGGAGGGUCCAGCCCGGGGGCGGACGGCGCCGGGCGCCCAGCACCGCGGCCAAGGCUCAGGGCCCGUGCCCCCUCCCGCCCUGCCCAUUCGCACCCCCAGCCCCGCGCCGCGCCGUCCUUACCCGGCGCGAAGCUGUCGGCUCCCGGCAGCCGGGCGGCCACGGCAGCGGCACCUCCUCCUGCGGCGGGCGCCCUCACCCUUCCGCGCCCAAGAUCGCCAUCUCGCAGCAGGCGCGGCGGCAGCAGCCACCCAGGCGUCGGCCCCGGCAGCCCAGGCCGCCAGCAGCCACUCGGAACCCGCACGCGGAGCUCGCCGACACCCGACCCUCCCCCCACCCCCACCCCGUCCACGCGCCACCCCCAGCCGACCCCACACCUCCCUUCCUCGGGAGCGCGCCGCGUGGCCGCGUCGCCGGCGCCGCGCCCUAAGCGCGCGCCUCCCCGCCGGCCCCGGCACCGCGCGCUACGCCGCGGCCGCCCAAAGCCUCCAACUCCGGACCCGGAAUCCGCCUCCCCCGAGCAUGCGCAGCGAGGGCGCUCGGAUGCUGCCUUAGGAAAACUCCGCUCCUCCGGGUCUUCCGAGCAGUCUAGCGGAGGGGGACGGACAGCCAAUAGUAGGGAGGGGCGGGGCCUGAACGUGUGGAAGGGGCGGGGCCGCCGCUGAGAUUUGGGAAGAGGCUGCUCUAAGCUCGCGCUGGGCACUGCUAAUUUGACUUUCCGGUCGGCGGCUGAUCCCGGAGCAGGACUUCUUAAGAUCAUUCUCAGUUGCCAUAUGGCAAAGACACAGGAAGCUGCCCUGUGUAGAGACCCACAUGGCAAGGAACUGAGACAUCCUGCCAACAACCACCAGAGUCUGAGGCCUGCUGCCAUCACCACGUGAGUGAGACAUCUUAGAAGUGGAUCCUUCAGCCUAAGUCAAGCCUUCAGAUGAUUGCGUCUUGACUGCAGCCUCAUCAAAGACCUUGAACCAGAACCACCCAACUCAGUUACUCUCAAAUGCUUAACCCAUAGAAACUAUAGCGGUAAAAUAAGUGCUUAUUGUUUUAAGUCACUAAAUUUGGGAGAUAAUUUAUAUCUAUCCAGAAAUAGAUAACAAAUACACUAAUCCUGUUGUUCUCAACUUGGGACCAUUUCAUAUCCCAGGGGAUUUUGGCAAUGGCUUACGACAUUUUUCAUGGGGGUAGGUUGGAUGUUCCAUUGGCAUCUAGUGGGUAGAUGUGACAGAGGGUGCUAAACAUCCUACAGUGCACAAGACAGCCCCAUCACUCCACUCAAAAAACAAGGAAUGAUCAGGUCCAAAUGGCAUUAAUGCUGAAGCUGAGAAACUGCCCCAACCUAUUUUCCCUUGCACUUUAAAAGUUUCCUAUUUCACCUGUACUUGUGAAAGAGGUGGGGUUUGCUUCACUUCCAUUACUCAUUUGAAUGCUGCUUCACUUGUUUCUUUUUUUUUUUUCUCUUUUUCUACUUUUAUUUUAGGUUCAGGGAAUACCUGUGCAGGUUUGUUGCAUGUGUAAAUUGCGUGUCACUGAGGCUUGGUGUACAAAUGAUCCUAUCACCCAAGUGCUUGUUACUUAGCCCUCUUUAGUAUUCUCCUCAUUCUCAUGCUCCCCUUCUGGUCAAAGCCCAAAACUCAGAUAGCAUAGAGAGCAGUGCCCCUUAGGACAAUCUGCACUUCCUUAAGAAUUCCUUUGAAGGAGUGAAAUACCAACAUGAGGCAGUCCUCUCCUCUUCUGAUGUUCCCCUCUCCUGUUUACCUUCCUAUAAGUACCGAACAAAGUAAGUAGGUAUAUCAGUCUUAAGGGCUUCCCAUGCCAUAAGAUAUAACUUAAAGCAGUUAUAUCUUAUGAAGGAAAUUAUUUCUUGUGAUGGUCUUUUUUAAAAACUAUUUUUAGUAAAGACAGGGUUUCACCAAGUUGACCAGGCUGCUCUUGAACUCCUGACCUCAGGUGAUCUGCCCACCUUGGCCUCCCAAAGUGCUGGGAUUACAGGAGUGAGCCACCGCACCUGGCCUUUACUGAUACUCUUUGUUUUUAUUUUUAAAAUAUUUUUAUAGACACAGGGUCUCACUAUUUUGCCCAGGCUGGUCUUGAACUUCAGGCCUUCCUGCCUUGGCCUCCCAAAACACUGGCAUUUACAGGUAUGAGCCACCAUGCCUAGACUUUUUAUUUUUAUUUUUGCAAUACUCUUUUUUAAUUGACCUGAAUGAGGUAUUGUUUAUAUACACUAAACUAACCUCAUUUUAAUGGUACAGUUCAAUAAAUUUUAACAAAUGAAUACACCAGUGUAACUAUUACCACAAUCAUGAUACAGAACAUUUCCAACACGGCAAAAAGUAUUCUCAAGCCCUUCCUCCCCCCAACUACUUCUGGUCCUAGGUAACUACUUGUUUGCAUUCUGUCACUGUAGAAUAAUUCUACUUUUUACAUAAUUUCAUUUUUUAUUUUUGAGACAGGGUCUCACUCUGUCACCCAGACUGGAGUGCCAUGGCAUUGACACAGCUCACAGCAGCUUCAAUCUCCUGGGCUCAAGGGAUUCUCCCGCUUCAGCCCCUUGAGAAACUGGGACUACAGGCAUGUACCACAGGGCCCAGCUAAUUCUUUAACUUUUUGUUGAGAUGGGGUCUUGCCGUGUUGCCCAGGUUUGUCUCAAAUUCCUGGCCUCAGGCAAUCCUUCUGCCUCAGCCUCCCAAAGUGCUGGGAGUACAGGUGGGAGCCACUGCAUCUCGGCCCACUUUUUCAAGAAUUUGAUAUAAGUGGUAUCAUCCAGUAUAUACUCUGUUGUAUGUGGUUUCAGCUCAGCAUGUUUCAGAGAUGCAUUUGUAAUAUUCUGUGCAGUAGUUAUUUCUUCUUUUCUAGUGGAGUAGUGAUCCCUUGUAUGGAUUUGCUACAAUUUGUUUAUUUUUGUCCUAUUCAUAGAUAAUUGGUUUGUUUCCAGUUUUUGGCUACUAUGACUAAAGAUUCUAUGAACAUUUGGUUAAAAGUAUUUUUCUUGGAUAAAUAAUGCCUAAGAGUAAAACAGCUAGGUCAUAUUGUCAUAUAUCUAACUUUAUGAUAAAUUGCCAAACUGUUUUCCAAAGUGGUUGUACCAUUUCCAUUUCCACCAGUAAUAUAUGAGAGUUCCAGUUGCUUCAUUUCUUCUCCAAUGUUUGGUAAUCCUUCUAAUUUUCAAUUAUUGUAUUUAAAUUUGCAUUUUCCUAAUAACUAAUCAUGUUGAGUAUCUUUUCCUGUCCUUAAGGGGCAUGUGUGUAUUUGAACAGAAGUAUCUGUUCAAACCUUUUGUCUACUUCAAAUUGGUUUUUUCCUCUUAUUACUGGGGUGUGUAUAUUCUGUCUUUUAUACUAUCCUUUGUCAGAUAUUGGUGUUGUGAAUAUUUUCUCCCAGAUUAUGGCUUGCUAUGGCAGUCAGCCCCCAAGAUGGACCCCAUUGAUUCUGGACUCCUGGUGCCAAAACCAUUGUACCCAGAUCAACUGCAAACAAGAACAGAGUUUUAAUGGAAAUUUUAAACAAGUAAGAUGAAAAUCCUGAAGCAUUUCUUUCAAGAAUUGUAACAGGAGAUGAAACAUGGCUUUACCAGUAUAAUCCCGAAGACAAAGUACAAUCAGAGCAAUGGCUACCAAGAGGUGGAAGUGGUCCAGUCAAAGCAAAAGCAGACCUGCCAAGAGCAAAGGUCGUGGGAAUAGUUUUUUGGGAUACUUAUUUUGCUUGUUGACUUUCUGAAGAGCCAAAGAACAAUAAUAUCUGCUUGUUUCAAGAGUGUUUUGAGAAAGUUUGCUAAAGCUUUAGCAGAAAAAUUCCUGGAAAAGCUUCACCAGUCUUUUUCUACCGCAACAAUGCUCCCACUCAUUCUUCUCAUCAAACAAGGGCAAUUUUACAAGACUUUCAAUGAGAAAUCAUUAGGCAUCGACCUUACAGUCCUAAUUUGGCUCUUUCUAACUUCUUUUUGUUUCCUAAUCUUAAAAAAUCUGCAAAGGGCUCCCAUUUUUCGUCAUUUAAUCAUGUAAAAAAGACAUGGUUAAAUUUCCAUGAAUCUCAAUUUUUUUAGGGAUGGAUUAAAUGACUGGUGUCAUCACUUACAACCAUGGUUGACCUCGAUGGAGCUUAUGUUGAGAAAUAAAGUUUAUAUUCUUUAUCUUUUAAUUCAAUUUUUCCAUGAACAUUUUGAAGUGCCUCAUAUUAUAAAUGAUAUUUCAUUGUUAGUGGUUCAUUAAUAGGGUAUUUAAAUACAAUUCUUUUUUAAUAUUAGUCCUGUACACUGAGAUCAUGUUUAAAAACCUAUUAGUUCUAGUAGUAUUUUAUAGAUUUCUUUUGAUUUUCUAUGUAUACAAUCAUGUUUCUCCAAAUAAAGAGUUUUAUUUUUUUCCUUCCA
Molecule: non-coding RNA, 4822 nt
Organism: Homo sapiens (human)
Lineage: Eukaryota; Metazoa; Chordata; Mammalia; Primates; Hominidae
Source: RefSeq, a predicted model, not a curated record